GAUGAACGCUGGCGGCGUGCCUAAUACAUGCAAGUCGAGCGAACAGACGAGGAGCUUGCUCCUCUGACGUUAGCGGCGGACGGGUGAGUAACACGUGGAUAACCUACCUAUAAGACUGGGAUAACUUCGGGAAACCGGAGCUAAUACCGGAUAAUAUAUUGAACCGCAUGGUUCAAUAGUGAAAGACGGUUUUGCUGUCACUUAUAGAUGGAUCCGCGCCGCAAUAGCUAGUUGGUAAGGUAACGGCUUACCAAGGCAACGAUGCGUAGCCGACCUGAGAGGGUGGUCGGCCACACUGGAACUGAGACACGGUCCAGACUCCUACGGGAGGCAGCAGUAGGGAAUCUUCCGCAAUGGGCGGAAGCCUGACGGAGCAACGCCGCGUGAGUGAUGAAGGUCUUCGGAUCGUAAAACUCUGUUAUUAGGGAAGAACAAAUGUGUAAGUAACUAUGCACGUCUUGACGGUACCUAAUCAGAAAGCCACGGCUAACUACGUG
RNAcentral lists this ribosomal RNA (497 nucleotides) under uncultured bacterium. RNAcentral's name for it is "partial 16S ribosomal RNA". It matches the Rfam family "Bacterial small subunit ribosomal RNA", at positions 28 to 507 of the family's 1533-position model. The record is from RNAcentral.